CCUACGGGUGGCAGCAGUGAGGAAUAUUGGUCAAUGGGCGGGAGCCUGAACCAGCCAAGUCGCGUGAGGGAAGACGGUCCUAUGGAUUGUAAACCUCUUUAGGCGGGGAGCAAUGCCGGGCACGUGUGCCCGGAUGGAGAGUACCCGCAGAAUAAGCAUCGGCUAACUCCGUGCCAGCACCCGCGGUAAUACGGAGGAUGCGAGCGUUAUCCGGAUUUAUGGGGUUUAAGGGGUGCGUAGGCGGAUUUUUAAGUCAGCGGUAAAAUGUCCGGGCUCAACCCGGGCCGGCCGUUGAAACUGGGGAGCUUGAGUGGGCGGGAAGUAUGCGGAAUGCGUGGUGUAGCGGUGAAAUGCAUAGAUAUCACGAAGAACCCCGAUUGCGAAGGCAGCAUACCGGAGCCCGACUGACGCUGAGGCACGAAAGCGUGGGGAUCGAACAGGAUUAGAUACCCCGGUAGUC
RNAcentral lists this ribosomal RNA (460 nucleotides) under uncultured bacterium. RNAcentral describes it as "partial 16S ribosomal RNA". It matches the Rfam family "Bacterial small subunit ribosomal RNA", at positions 338 to 795 of the family's 1533-position model. The record is from RNAcentral.